This 288-nucleotide unclassified non-coding RNA is filed under the name uncultured fungus. Its description in RNAcentral is "partial contains 5.8S rRNA, ITS2 and 28S rRNA". It matches the Rfam family "Eukaryotic large subunit ribosomal RNA", at positions 668 to 961 of the family's 3401-position model. The record is from RNAcentral. Lineage: Eukaryota; Fungi.
AAGGAGUCUAACAUAUAUGCGAGUACUCGGGUGUCAAACCCGUGCGCGGAAUGAAAGUAAUGUGGUGGGAGAUUUCGGAAGCACGAUCGACCGAUCAUGAUUCAUUGAUGAAAGAUUUGAGUAUGAGCAUAUCUGUUGGGACCCGAAAGAUGGUGAACUAUGCCUGAAUAGGGUGAAGCCAGAGGAAACCCUGGUGGAGGCUCGUAGCGGUUCUAACGUGCAAAUUGAUCGUCAAAUUUGGGUAUAGGGGCGAAAGACUAAUCGAACCAUCUAGUAGCUGGUUCCUGC